UGCUUGCAGGUCGUAAACAUGUACAUAGCACACAUUUGGGAGUGUGACCUUUGCUUUGGCUCUGCCUCUUAUUCUACAAGCAUAUGCAGCCUUGUACUCUUGGCUGCCAUCUCUUUGCAUUGCAACGCUACCUCAAAACCUUCAGUACUUCUAUAUUCCUUUUAAAGUCUGCCGUUUUUUGGUUUCUGUACAAGGCUCUCGCUCUCUCUUUUCCCACUGCUUCCUGCAUAUCUUGGAAGUUAUGAUUGGCAGCAGCAAGUGAGUGCCAGGAAAUGAAAACUAACGACUUCCUCCAUUUCACACUUAAGAAGCAAUCUGCUCUAGUAAUUUUACGCACCUCGAAGAAAGAAGUCUCUGAAACGUGUCGGGUGGGGUCUAUGCGAUUUGCCGUGGUCUUAUUAUCACGGUAGCUUCAGCCUUCUGUCACCUAGGAGUGAGUGGUCACAGUGACAUCCUCUGGCUGCAUCAUGACACUGAUCAGACUCGGGUGUUGGCACGUCUCCAGACGUAGAGCAGCCGAGGUUCAGGUUUCCCUGCAUUGGAAUAAAAAACAUUACAGUGAGAUUGGUCACUUCAAGCUAUAGUGACAAUUCAGCAAGCAUGUUUUGGUGUAACAAAACUCUCCAUACUGACCUUUUCUAUGAACUCCGAUACCCAAAGUAUUAGGGACUAGCGCAGCCAAGAAGAGGUCCAUGCUACUGGCUCAAACCUGCUAACACAGUUGCUGGGUAAACCACUAUAUAAGCUGAAACCAUGAAAGACAACUAUUGUUAAAUUCUAACUUUGCAAAUAAGAUUAGGUGGAAUUUACUUUCAAGGGAAAAUCUGGAUUUUCGUUGUGAAAAUGCUGCAAACGACAUUCACAUCGCUCAGGCCGCUUACAUGAAUCAAAGUGGAAUGUCGGAGAAGUAGAUAAGAAUUCUAGGACAAUUAUACUGUACAUGAAGGCGCUUGCUGCAAGCUGGAAGCUUACAUUGCAAUAUGUUCUCCGCAGCAGGAUCGAAGUAUAUUCAAUGCUGGAAAGAUGCAAGCAGUUGAAAAAUGCUUGUUAACCUAUUUUUUCUUUUCAGUUUUGCCUGCAAGGCCUCAGCUUGUCACGUUGUUAGAUCUGGCUCUCAUCAAAGAAGCCAUCACUCAUGUUCUUCCUGUUUCCUCACAUCCCAAGCCUACAGCACGGCUUUUUGGAGCACAAUCAAAAGUCGAGUAUGAUGCUUACUCUACAAUGUAAUGGUACAUUCUUAAUAAAAACAAAAUGCGCUGAAUAAGUGAGUGACACAAAUAGGUUAUACUGUAGGUGCGAACUACAGAAGUGCUUGUCAACCCUUGAAAAGUCAUGCUUUCCGGGUUUCCUUGUUAGGACACAAGUCUAUUACCUAGCAAUAAUUUAAAUAAAUACAUUUAGGGUCCUUUAAUCUGUGAACAGAUCCCCAUGCUGAAUCAGCGCAAAAUGUGACGAAUGUCACUUUAGUGACAUCCAUACCCGUUCAGUUUUUGUCCACAUUUUGAAAGUGGACUGUGACUGACCUGUGUAAUAAAUUGCAAUGCUGAGAAUGAGACCACCCAGAUAGCAAGGAUAACUUGCCACAAAUUUGAGUUGAAUUAUAAGUCGUUAACUUGUUGCACAUUUUCACUGGUAAGAGCACUUGAAACACAAGUUCUAGUUGACACUUUUCCAAUUGGUAGCAAAUUUGCAUGGCAAGUCUCUAGCAAGAGCAAAGUUGCAGUGUUGUGUCCCCAGCAAGGCACAGUGAGUGGGGUGACUAUUGCACAACAUAACUGAACCAGAACUUGCAAGAGAAUUUCAGAAUAUUUGCAAAGAAAUGUGAUCUUGAGUCAUGCAAUAUGGACUUGCUGCAGUUGUACAAUAAACUUGUGAAUCUUGGAAAGUCUAGUAAUAGCUUAGCAAGUCAUUUUCAAUGACUUGCUAUCUGGGUAAUCGGUUGUGGUAGCCAACGCCAUCAAUAAUGUUCUUACAUCAGUAAAAUAUAUUGCAAUGUUAGGAAAAAAACAACUCACAAGCUAUCAGUCUAUCACAAAAGCUGCUGCCAGACUCAUCCACCUUCUAGCCAACCCUUCAGUGUCGGCUACCCCUCUGUGAUAAAUUCAAAAUACUAACAACUUAAAAAGCCAUCCACAACAAGGCCCCCAGCUACAUCACCAACCUAGUCUCAGAAUACCAAUCAAUUCGAUCUCUUUGCUUCUCCCAAGACCUCCUGCUCUCUAGCUCCCUUGUCACCUCAUUCUAUGCUUGUCGACAGGACCUCUCCCAAGCAUUUCCCAACUUGUGAAACUCCCUACCCCAAUCUAUCCAACUGUCUCCCACUCUGUCCACUUUUAGGCAAUCACUGAAAAACCUUCUCUACAGAGAAGCCUAUCCUGCCCCCACCUAACAACUGUACUUUUAUUUUCUCUAACAGCUCACCCCCCCACCCCCACCCUACACUUAUAAACUUUUGUAUCACUUAUCCUUUUAGGUUGUAAGAUCUAAUGAGCAGGACUAAAUAAAAUAUUUGAUGAUGGACUUUGAAGGCACCACAGUAACAAUGUUAAUACAAUUCAAUUAUCUUUAUUAUAUAUUAUAAAAAUUGACAAUGUUAAAAACAUUGUCCAUUCACAAUGAAGAGGGCCCUUUGAUUCCUACUGUACUGAAUUGUAUUGUAACUGUACCAUCUGCCCUCAUGUUGUAAAGCGCUGCACAAACUGUUUUGGGCUAUAUAAAUCCUGUAUAAUAAUAUUAAUUGCAAACAAAAUGUCCACAUCUACAACCAAAUAAAUAUGUUCUACUGUAAGCUGUA
Molecule: long non-coding RNA, 2794 nt
Organism: Rana temporaria (common frog)
Lineage: Eukaryota; Metazoa; Chordata; Amphibia; Anura; Ranidae
Exons: 5
Source: RefSeq, a predicted model, not a curated record